CCUACGGGAGGCAGCAGUGAGGAAUAUUGGUCAAUGGACGCUAGUCUGAACCAGCCAAGUAGCGUGCAGGAUGACUGCCCUAUGGGUUGUAAACUUCUUUUGUAAAGGAGUAAACUGAGGCACGUGUACCUUUUUGUAUGUACUUUAUGAAUAAGGAUCGGCUAACUCCGUGCCAGCAGCCGCGGUAAUACGGAGGAUCCGAGCGUUAUCCGGAUUUAUUGGGUUUAAAGGGAGCGUAGAUGGGUUGUUAAGUCAGUUGUGAAAUUUUGCGGCUUAACCGUAAAAUUGCAAUUGAUACUGGCAGUAGUGAGGACAGUUGAGGUAGGGCGAAAGCGUGGGGUAGCGGGGAAAUGCUUAGAGAGCAAGAAGAAC
Molecule: ribosomal RNA, 372 nt
Filed under: uncultured bacterium
Lineage: Bacteria
Description: partial 16S ribosomal RNA
Rfam family: Bacterial small subunit ribosomal RNA
Source: RNAcentral